This is a long non-coding RNA of Gymnodraco acuticeps, 470 nucleotides long. RefSeq lists it as uncharacterized. The transcript has 3 exons. The record is from RefSeq and is a predicted model, not a curated record. Lineage: Eukaryota; Metazoa; Chordata; Actinopteri; Perciformes; Bathydraconidae.
CGACCGAGGGAAUACACACACACACCCCAUGGAGCAUUUCCCCCUCGUGAUGAGGGCUCGCCUGGAAAGGCGACAACGCAACCGUGAGCAAUGUGGAUACUACUGGAGAGCCUGGACAAUCAUAAAAUGGUUCCUCUGCAUACUUGCCAUGAUAGUUGUGUUAGGACUAGUCCUAUAUUUUAUGUAUCCAUGGUCAGCACACAGCAUGUUAGCCAUGUGCACCCCAGCCAUUUGAGAGGGAUGAAACACAGCCUCUGCAUCCAGAGAGUGUACCACAAAACGUCUCUUACACCACCUUAUUUUUUCCUAGGCACUACUACUGGUUGUACUCGUAUCCUACGGAACACGUGCAGUUACGGUGCUUACAAUAUCUCGUAUUGUCGCAUAGUCGGUGCCCCUGGAAGAAUCCUUUCUAACGUAGCAUUCCCUGAUGUUAACCAUAUUUCCCUCCAACUGGCCUGGCCCAGUGA